This is a non-coding RNA of Pan troglodytes (chimpanzee), 148 nucleotides long. It matches the Rfam family "Metazoan signal recognition particle RNA". Rfam says of the family: The signal recognition particle (SRP) is a universally conserved ribonucleoprotein. NCBI's taxonomy places the organism in Eukaryota, Metazoa, Chordata, Mammalia, Primates, Hominidae. The record is from Rfam.
GCCAGGCAUGGUGGCGCAUGCCUGUAGUCCCAGCUACUUGGGAGGCUGAGGCAGGAAAAUUGCUUGAACCCAGGAGGUGGAGGUUGCAGUGAGCUGAGAUUGUGCCACUGUACCCCAGCCUGGGUGACAGAGUGAGACUCUGUCUCAA